This 506-nucleotide ribosomal RNA is filed under the name uncultured archaeon. RNAcentral's name for it is "bacterial SSU rRNA". It matches the Rfam family "Archaeal small subunit ribosomal RNA", at positions 208 to 716 of the family's 1478-position model. The record is from RNAcentral.
GAUGGGACUGCGGCUGAUUAGGCUGUUGGUGAGGUAAUGGCUCACCAAACCAUUGAUCAAUAGGGGCUAUGCGAGUAGGAGCCCCGAGACGGGCACUGAGACAAGGGCCCGAGCCCUACGGGGUGCAGCAGGCGCGAAACUUCCGCAAUGCGCGAAAGCGUGACGGGGGGAGUCCGAGUGCCAUCCUAACGGAUGGCUUUUCGUGAGACCAAAUCUCUCACGGAAUAAGUGGUGGGUAAAUCUCGUGCCAGCCGCCGCGGUAAUACGAGUAGCACAAGUGGUAUCCACGAAUAUGGAGCUUAAAGCGUUCGUAGCCGGUCAAGCCAGUUUCCUGUGAAAUCUGCGGGCUUAACCCGUAGGCGUGCAGGAAAUACUACUUGGCUAGGGAACGGGGGAGGUUAGGAGUACUCUAGGGGGAGCGGUAAAAUGCUGUAAUCCUUGGAGGACUAACGAUGGCGAAUGCACCUGACUAAAACGUGUCCGACGGUGAGGGACGUAUGCUUGGG